GUAAACCGUUCAUGUUAGUUCCAUCAUGUAAAAACGCACACGUUGCUACAGGUCUGCAAACAAGUUGUUACAAAUAUGUUCACAAGCUGUCGACAAGUUGUGUUGUAACAAUUUUGGAACAAGCUGUUGACAACUUGUAACAAGCUUGAUGGCAUUAUCAGACUUGUUCCAAGAUUGUUCUAACGAGUCUGAUACAGUCACGAUAAAACAAAAAUGUUACAAGGUUGACGACAAAAAGGUUGUAACAACAUUGCUAUAUCAUGAUUGUAUCAUGAUUGUAUUGGAACAACCCUGCAACAAGUCUGAUAAUGCCACCAAGAUUGUUACCAGUUGUCAACAGCUUGUUCCAAACUUGUUGACAACUUGGGACAAGCAGUGCGAACACAACUUGUUGACGGCUUCUUGGCAGACUUGCUACAAGAUGUGAGAUUUUUGCGUGUGUAGAUAAUCAGGUGAUCUCGGAACUCGGAAAAGGUCUGGCACUAGUUGUAAAACAGAAAUCCAUUUCUGGUUUAAAAUUACUCAAUAUCUCAUUAACGGUAUUAAGAUUUCAAAUUUGUCCCGGAUAUUCAUUUCCCUGUGCAAGACACGGACACAAAGUCCCAAACAGUUUCCCAAAAGAAUCAGGGCGUGACAAGUGAUUAAAGGCACUAAACUGGAUUUCUAUUCUGUUGCUAGUCCCAGUCCUUUUGCUCACCGUCAGAAAACCUGGAAAGAUAUGCUUGUAUUUUGUAGAUAUAAACUAUUACCCAACCGUCGUGGGGGUGUAUCGGGUUUUGGUAUGCCACCUGCAAGCAGGCGAGCUGUGGACGAUGGUGGUGCUGGCGGUGGACGUCAUGCCUGGGGUGAAGGACGUCGUUUGGAUGCCGACAAUUAAUUUCCCUUAUGCCUAUAUUAAUUAAGGUCCAUUUCCACUCAAGAAAAAUUUCCACGGACAGAAAAUUUCUGAAAAUGUCAUUGUUAAAAGUUGAACAUUUUCAACUUCAAAAUUUUUUUCCGACGGAAAAUUUGUGGUCAGCCAAACACAUUUUACAAAAUUUUUUCUGCGGAAAAUUUUCCUGAGUGGAAAUGGGCCACAAGGCUUAAGAACCUGAAGGUUCAGUAUGAGUGCAGUUAAUACUGUGAAGUUUAUACAUUGUACAUAGUUAAAACGAUAUGCUCAGCAUUUGAGGAUGAAAACACUCCCAAUCCCAGUCUUAACAAAAACAGUUUUAGAAAUGAACUUAUAUAAAGUGAGAAAUUUUAGUCAAAACAGGAAAAGUUGAUCAAUGUGCGCGGGUUAUUAAAACGCGAGAGAGAAAGUUCUACCUAUGUCAAGCUCUACCUAUGUCAAGUUCUACCUAUGUCAAAUCUCAUCCAUCGUACUGUUUGAGUGUUUGGUCAAAUAAGAUAUUUCCAUACUUCAUAAACAAAACACACUUAAAUUCCACAUUGGGAUAAUUAUGGCUUUGGAUUGCUAAGUUCAUCAUUAAAUAUCACUGUUUUCUUCAAAUUUCUACCUGAAUUUACCCAGCUUUUGACGUCAUAAUUUUUUGACUAAAAACAGAUUUUGCGGUGUAUAAACGACCAAAUAUUGAUGAUAGAACGGAUUCAGAGGACGGAUUCAGCUUCUUCUUACGGAAGAGGACGGAUUCAGCAACUAAAAACAAUGGUAUUUUAGGAAGAAUUUUUGUCCGUGGAAAUUUUUCUUGAGUGAAAAUGGGCCUUAACUAAAUUAGCAUCCCAGUAUUUUUGAAGCGUCCGCCACUGGUCAGAAUCAACAUGCCCACUGCGAAUUCGUCUGGGUUUCCAACAGGCAGACGCAUGAACAUCUUCAGCAUGAACUGCGCGUAUGUGAAUAUCACUGUGGACCUGCUGCUGAACUGUCAACGUACUUUGCGUCCUUGGCAUUGCAUGUGUUUUUUUUUGUCGCGCAUCGAAGCGAAUCCAAUUAAUCACGCGAAAAUUCUGAUGGAUUUUGGCAGGUUUCGCGGCGAAGCUUUUAAUUCUUGGCCGGUGAUAAUGUACAACUGACGAUUAACAAAUUUGAUUAUGGAUUAUUUUUCGAAAUUAGCGAAAGAAGCCGAUAUUAUUUCCGAUCCGAUCGCAUGUAAACAUAAGCUCCUUGAAACAAUUCUGAAACAAAUGAAGUUGAAACCGGAUCUUUUGUUUUUAUCUUUUGUCUUCAUUGUGCCAUUGCAAUAUUAAUUUCUAUUAUGUUUAGUAUUGUAUAUUUGCAUACUGGUAUACCAUUAGAAACGUGAAGGGGGAGAACAGAAAAAACUCAUACAAGCCAAAAGUAUUGAAAAAAAUACAAACAGGAGGUGGCAGAAAAAACGCAUCACAACACAAGAAAAAAACAUGGAGACAAAGCCGAACCUUCAAGAAAAUUCAAAGAAUGGAAGAGAACUUCGAAAAAAAUUCCAUGCAUGGAACAGAACUUCCCCGUCCUCAUUUCACUUUCAUUUUCAAAUAGUCCGCUCCCAAAUAGCCAAGUUGAAU
Molecule: long non-coding RNA, 2481 nt
Filed under: Paramuricea clavata
Lineage: Eukaryota; Metazoa; Cnidaria; Anthozoa; Malacalcyonacea; Plexauridae
Source: RNAcentral